RNAcentral lists this ribosomal RNA (253 nucleotides) under uncultured bacterium. RNAcentral's name for it is "partial 16S ribosomal RNA". It matches the Rfam family "Bacterial small subunit ribosomal RNA", at positions 524 to 776 of the family's 1533-position model. The record is from RNAcentral.
AACGGGGGGGGCAGGCGUUAUUCAUCUUUACUGGGCGUAAAGGGCGCGUAGGCGGAUAUCUAAGUUGGGGGUGAAAUCCCGGGGCUCAACCUCGGAAUUGCCUUCAAAACUGGGUAUCUUGAGUUCGGGAGAGGUGAGUGGAACUCCGAGUGUAGAGGUGAAAUUCGUAGAUAUUCGGAAGAACACCAGUGGCGAAGGCGACUCACUGGCCCGAUACUGACGCUGAGGCGCGAAAGCGUGGGGAGCAAACAGG